NNNNNNNNNNNNNNNNNNNNNNNNNNNNNNNNNNNNNNNNNNNNNNNNNNNNNNNNNNNNNNNNNNNNNNNNNAUAUUAAAAAUCUAUUAAAAGAACAUAUUAAAAAUAAUUACCUUAUAGGAAUACCAACAGAAACAGUAUAUGGGUUAGGAGGUAAUUCAUUAAGUACUGAGUCAUUGAGUAACAUAUUUCGAAUGAAAAAUAGACCUACAAGUGAUCCUAUAAUUUCACAUGUAUAUGAUAUAUCACAAGCUUAUGAUAAAUUAUAUCAUAUAAAUGUUUUUGAAAAAUAUAUAAUUUAUAUAUUAGGUAAACACUUUUGGCCAGGACCAUUAUCAAUUAUUGCAAAAGCCAAAAAAAAUGUUCCUUUAAUUUUAACAGCUUAUACACAAUUUUGUGCCGUUCGUAUUCCUGAUAAUAUUAUUGCAAAAGAAAUAAUAAAAAUAUGCGAUACACCUAUAGCCGCACCAUCUGCCAACAAAUUUAAACAUAUAAGUCCAACUAAUUCUUUGCAUGUUUUGGAAGAAUUUAAAAAUGAAAAAAAUUUACUUAUUUUUGAUAGUGGACAGUGUGAUAUAGGUAUUGAAUCGACGGUCAUAAAAAUAACAAAGUACAAACACUCGAAAAAAAGUAAAAAGUUAUCUGUAAAUGGUAAUUUUACAAAUAAAAGUGUCACAGAUAAGGAUUAUGGUGAUUGUGAUGUGGAUGGUGACGAUGAAGUUGUGACAGAUUGCGAUUAUGAAUAUGAAUGUAAUACCGAAAUGUAUAAUAUGAAAAAAUCAUUAAAUUGUAUAUCUGAAACUAAUAAUAUGGAGGUAUAUGAAAGAUUGAAGAAUUAUUUUGAUACUAUAAGUAUGGGAACAUGUAACACAAAUGACGACAAUAACAGUUAUAGUAUAAUAAAUAAUUUAAUUAAAUAUAAGAACUUAUACAAAUAUGAAAUUAAAAUAUUUAGAAGAGGAAAAUAUACUAAAACUGAUAUUGAACGUGUGUUAAAAAAUAAUAUACUUUUAAAUAAUAUAGAAGUAAAUAUAUUUAAAAAAAUAAAAUACGAAAAUUUAUAUAUAUUGAAAAAUAACACACAAGAAAUAUGCACAAGUAAGUUGGAUAGUGACAAUAUGUUAGUAAGCGAAGGAGACGAACAUAAUGACAUAAAUAAAACUUACAACGACAUAAAUAAAACUUACAACAACAUAAAUAAAACUUACAACGACAUAAAUAAAACUCACAACGACAUAAGUACUUCACUCAAUGCAAAUACUAUACAUAACACAGACGAUGAAAAAAAUCAAAUAUGUCCCGGUUUGAUGAUAACACAUUAUAGUCCAAUUGUUACUACUUAUCUAAUUGACAAUAUGUCAACUGAUGAAUAUAAACAAAAAUAUAAAAACAGUAACGUUUUAAAUAUGAAUACAAAAAAAUGUAUAUUUUUAGAUAUUGGUGGUUCAUUUUUAAAUCAUCAACAUUUUUUUUUUAAAUAUUUAAAUAUUUCUUAUAAUAACGAAUCAUCAAAAGAAGAACGUAUACAAUACGUUACAAAAUAUUUUUUUUUAUUUUUAAGAAAAGCAGAAAAUGUAGCUAUACAAAAUAAAGCAGAAAAUAUAUUUAUUUCUAUUGUUAAUUUAAAAUCAUGUGAUGAACAUAGUCUAUCUAUAUAUGAUCGAAUUUUCAGAGCAGCAUCAGGUAAAGUCUU
Molecule: long non-coding RNA, 1694 nt
Organism: Piliocolobus tephrosceles (Ugandan red Colobus)
Lineage: Eukaryota; Metazoa; Chordata; Mammalia; Primates; Cercopithecidae
Source: Ensembl